CCAAGCAGUGCGAAGCUCUUGGCUGACAGUGGUGCCUGCUAAUUUCCACUGCAAGGAUUUCGUCCACGAAUGUUAUCAUAGGUUACGCGCGACUCCAGAGGCAAUUUGGAAUCUCGGCACGAAAUCGUCUGAUGAAAAUCUGAGGUGCCCGACGCAUAACAUUUUGAACGCGCCACGGAGGAUCAAGGCAAAAAACGAGAGCAAAAAAUGGUGCACGCUGAAGGCGGAAAUGAAGCAUGAUCUGGCUUGCAUCUGGUCAUGAAGAAAUUGCUGACACGUUAGUUGCAGUCCACCUCCACCAACAGGGUGGAAAACAAAGAUCGCCAUUCCGAUUAGCUGCUAUCUCCCAGUUCAAGCACUUUUGUGUCUGGACACUGGUUCCUGUGGAUGGGGUGUUACAAGCUUUACUGUCUGAUAUAGAAGUGAUGAGCAUCCAUAAGGACACAUGCCAGAAAGGGAGUCUCUUUGGGAUGACAAACCCUCAUCACCUCAUGAGGAUACAAUGGUUGACGAAUGGUUCUCAAGCACAUCGAAACUUCCAACAAAUAAUUCAUGAAAAAGCCAGUCAGUGCUAGCACCAGGAAUUGAACGUG
Ornithodoros turicata is the source of this 593-nucleotide long non-coding RNA. RefSeq lists it as uncharacterized. The transcript has 4 exons. The record is from RefSeq and is a predicted model, not a curated record. Lineage: Eukaryota; Metazoa; Arthropoda; Arachnida; Ixodida; Argasidae.